CAAAAAGUCUUUUCACCAUAACAUGGGCAAAGAUAAAUAAGAAAAGAAGAAAAACGACUCUGGUUUUUCUUCCCUUCACUUGUUCCUAGCGAACAUGUUAUUCUUGCAGCAUUAAUGUCCAGCCAGAGAUAUCAGGUAACAAGAACUUGCUUCCAAGCUUCAGAGUACAGAAAAAGAACACUCUAAAAAGCAUCAAAACUCCAGUAUUUACAAUCCCUUCAAGAGACUUGGUUAAUUUUAAAUAUUUAAUUGUUUACUUUGUUUAAACAUUCCUCUUUAUCCAAUGAAUGUACACUUAAAAAUUAUUUUCUUUGAUAUCAAAUGCUCAGCAAGGGAAAAAAAUGUAUACAAAAUAUAGAAAAGAAUAUCAAAAAGACCAAGCCCAGUAUGUUUAACAAUGCAUUCUUUUCCUCCCACAGUGCAUUAAAAAAAAAAAACAAAAAAAAAAAACAAAAAGCUUGCGUCCAUACACAUUGAAACACAAAGGAAAUAUAACACACUGAGUUGUUUCUGCUUUUGAUCCCAGUUCUUAGAGGCAAGAAAUCAGAUUGCAGAAGAAAGCCUGCUCAAAUCACACAAGAGCAGCCCAUGUAUGACGACGCCCUUCUCUCUCCUUAGGCUCUUCUGCAAGGGUCACCUGUAACCCCUCUAGCCUAUCUAUCCAAUGGUGGCUGGAGCUGAGGGGUUGUGGAUGGCAACACUGGGCGACUCCAGCAUCUUCAUGGUGAGCUGCUGGGGAAAGGCACUGACGAAGAGAGCUCGGAUUGUGUCUGUGCUUGUGACUUCAUUCGGCAUCCGCAGCUGUUUGGUUUCGUCUCCAUACUGGAGGUAGAGGACACCUGCAUGCAAAAGGAACACACAAUUAUCAG
Molecule: long non-coding RNA, 869 nt
Filed under: Mus spretus (western wild mouse)
Lineage: Eukaryota; Metazoa; Chordata; Mammalia; Rodentia; Muridae
Description: predicted gene 13362 (ENSMSPG00010015489.1)
Source: RNAcentral